UACGUAGGGGGCAAGCGUUGUCCGGAUUUAUUGGGCGUAAAGAGCUCGUAGGUGGUUCGGUAAGUCGGAUGUGAAAUCUCCAGGCUCAACCUGGAGGGGUCAUUCGAUACUGCCGUGACUAGAGGUCGGUAGGGGAGUGUGGAAUUCCUGGUGGAGCGGUGAAAUGCGUAGAUAUCGCUUGGAACGCCAAUGGUGAAAACAGCAGGCUGGGGGUGUGCUGACGCUGAGACGCGAAAGCCAGGGGAGCAAACGGG
Molecule: ribosomal RNA, 254 nt
Filed under: uncultured bacterium
Lineage: Bacteria
Description: partial 16S ribosomal RNA
Rfam family: Bacterial small subunit ribosomal RNA
Source: RNAcentral